GCCAGAUUGGUGUAGUGGGUAACACACCUAUUGACACACAGGUUCGCCUGUGCCCUUCGGGGGCAGGAGUCCCGGGUUCGAAUCCUGGAUCUGGUC
Aspergillus steynii IBT 23096 is the source of this 96-nucleotide non-coding RNA. NCBI's taxonomy places the organism in Eukaryota, Fungi, Ascomycota, Eurotiomycetes, Eurotiales, Aspergillaceae. The record is from the annotation of a RefSeq genome assembly.